Long non-coding RNA from Chinchilla lanigera (long-tailed chinchilla), 586 nucleotides. RefSeq lists it as uncharacterized. Lineage: Eukaryota; Metazoa; Chordata; Mammalia; Rodentia; Chinchillidae. The record is from RefSeq and is a predicted model, not a curated record. The transcript is spliced from 3 exons.
UCCGCCUUGCGGCUCGCAAGUCCAGGGCUGGCAGGCUAGGGAGUCCCGGAGAGAGUGAGGGGCCCCUGCAUCUUUCUGCGCCUAGGAGCUCCCUGCUCACUGAGUGAGGCUGCGGGGAGAGAACAGCAGAGCAGGUGAGAGCUGUAUAAGCUAGAGGCAGGCAGGGACCGUGGGAGACCUCACAGGAGAAGCCUGGAGAAAUCUGGCACCUGCAUCAGCACCAGCCUCCUCUGUCAGGGACUGAGGGCUGCACGGAGAGCGCAGCGCCAGGCCAGCGUCAGUGGACUUGGGAGCAGGAAUCAGUUCUGGGGUUCCCUGAGCCUUUGUGUGCUCACCCCAAACAAGGGUCCAAGGGCAGCGGCCUUGUCUGUAUGCUCACUGUUGCCCCCUCAGUCCCAGGGCAGAGUCCAGCACCACACAGAGACCUAGAAAGUUCCCGUGCCCCAGACACCAAGGGCAGCAGCAGGCAGAGUUUCCAAGGUCUCCUGGAUGCUGGGCAUGUGUGAGCGAAGACACAAGAGGUACAGGGCGUGGGGAGAUGGACCCAAGGUACCAGGAGGCGGGACCUGCAUGGAAAACAGCAGGA